GGUUAAGCGACUAAGCGUACACGGUGGAUGCCCUGGCAGUCAGAGGCGAUGAAGGACGUGCUAAUCUGCGAAAAGCGUCGGUAAGGUGAUAUGAACCGUUAUAACCGGCGAUGUCCGAAUGGGGAAACCCAGUGUGUUUCGACACACUAUCAUUAACUGAAUCCAUAGGUUAAUGAGGCGAACCGGGGGAACUGAAACAUCUAAGUACCCCGAGGAAAAGAAAUCAACCGAGAUUCCCCCAGUAGCGGCGAGCGAACGGGGAGGAGCCCAGAGCCUGAAUCAGUGUGUGUGUUAGUGGAAGCGUCUGGAAAGGCGUGCGAUACAGGGUGACAGCCCCGUACACAAAAAUGCACAUGCUGUGAGCUCGAUGAGUAGGGCGGGACACGUGGUAUCCUGUCUGAAUAUGGGGGGACCAUCCUCCAAGGCUAAAUACUCCUGACUGACCGAUAGUGAACCAGUACCGUGAGGGAAAGGCGAAAAGAACCCCGGCGAGGGGAGUGAAAAAGAACCUGAAACCGUGUACGUACAAGCAGUGGGAGCCUCUUUAUGGGGUGACUGCGUACCUUUUGUAUAAUGGGUCAGCGACUUAUAUUCUGUAGCAAGGUUAACCGAAUAGGGGAGCCGGAGGGAAACCGAGUCUUAACUGGGCGUUAAGUUGCAGGGUAUAGACCCGAAACCCGGUGAUCUAGCCAUGGGCAGGUUGAAGGUUGGGUAACACUAACUGGAGGACCGAACCGACUAAUGUUGAAAAAUUAGCGGAUGACUUGUGGCUGGGGGUGAAAGGCCAAUCAAACCGGGAGAUAGCUGGUUCUCCCCGAAAGCUAUUUAGGUAGCGCCUCGUGAAUUCAUCUCCGGGGGUAGAGCACUGUUUCGGCAAGGGGGUCAUCCCGACUUACCAACCCGAUGCAAACUGCGAAUACCGGAGAAUGUUAUCACGGGAGACACACGGCGGGUGCUAACGUCCGUCGUGAAGAGGGAAACAACCCAGACCGCCAGCUAAGGUCCCAAAGUCAUGGUUAAGUGGGAAACGAUGUGGGAAGGCCCAGACAGCCAGGAUGUUGGCUUAGAAGCAGCCAUCAUUUAAAGAAAGCGUAAUAGCUCACUGGUCGAGUCGGCCUGCGCGGAAGAUGUAACGGGGCUAAACCAUGCACCGAAGCUGCGGCAGCGACGCUGAUGCGUUGUUGGGUAGGGGAGCGUUCUGUAAGCCUGUGAAGGUGUGCUGUGAGGCAUGCUGGAGGUAUCAGAAGUGCGAAUGCUGACAUAAGUAACGAUAAAGCGGGUGAAAAGCCCGCUCGCCGGAAGACCAAGGGUUCCUGUCCAACGUUAAUCGGGGCAGGGUGAGUCGACCCCUAAGGCGAGGCCGAAAGGCGUAGUCGAUGGGAAACAGGUUAAUAUUCCUGUACUUGGUGUUACUGCGAAGGGGGGACGGAGAAGGCUAUGUUGGCCGGGCGACGGUUGUCCCGGUUUAAGCGUGUAGGCUGGUUUUCCAGGCAAAUCCGGAGAAUCAAGGCUGAGGUGAUGACGAGGCACUACGGUGCUGAAGCAACAAAUGCCCUGCUUCCAGGAAAAGCCUCUAAGCAUCAGGUAACAUCAAAUCGUACCCCAAACCGACACAGGUGGUCAGGUAGAGAAUACCAAGGCGCUUGAGAGAACUCGGGUGAAGGAACUAGGCAAAAUGGUGCCGUAACUUCGGGAGAAGGCACGCUGAUAUGUAGGUGAAGCGACUUGCUCGUGGAGCUGAAAUCAGUCGAAGAUACCAGCUGGCUGCAACUGUUUAUUAAAAACACAGCACUGUGCAAACACGAAAGUGGACGUAUACGGUGUGACGCCUGCCCGGUGCCGGAAGGUUAAUUGAUGGGGUCAGCGCAAGCGAAGCUCUUGAUCGAAGCCCCGGUAAACGGCGGCCGUAACUAUAACGGUCCUAAGGUAGCGAAAUUCCUUGUCGGGUAAGUUCCGACCUGCACGAAUGGCGUAAUGAUGGCCAGGCUGUCUCCACCCGAGACUCAGUGAAAUUGAACUCGCUGUGAAGAUGCAGUGUACCCGCGGCAAGACGGAAAGACCCCGUGAACCUUUACUAUAGCUUGACACUGAACACUGGUCCUUGAUGUGUAGGAUAGGUGGGAGGCUUUGAAGUGUGGACGCCAGUCUGCAUGGAGCCGUCCUUGAAAUACCACCCUUUAAUGGCUGGUGUUCUAACGUAGGCCCCUUAUCGGGGUUGCGGACAGUGUCUGGUGGGUAGUUUGACUGGGGCGGUCUCCUCCUAAAGAGUAACGGAGGAGCACGAAGGUUGGCUAAUCCUGGUCGGACAUCAGGAGGUUAGUGCAAUGGCAUAAGCCAGCUUGACUGCGAGCGUGACGGCGCGAGCAGGUGCGAAAGCAGGUCAUAGUGAUCCGGUGGUUCUGAAUGGAAGGGCCAUCGCUCAACGGAUAAAAGGUACUCCGGGGAUAACAGGCUGAUACCGCCCAAGAGUUCAUAUCGACGGCGGUGUUUGGCACCUCGAUGUCGGCUCAUCACAUCUGGGGCUGAAGUAGGUCCCAAGGGUAUGGCUGUUCGCCAUUUAAAGUGGUACGCGAGCUGGGUUUAGAACGUCGUGAGACAGUUCGGUCCCUAUCUGCCGUGGGCGCUGGAGAACUGAGGGGGGCUGCUCCUAGUACGAGAGGACCGGAGUGGACGCAUCACUGGUGUUCGGGUUGUCAUGCCAAUGGCACUGCCCGGUAGCUAAAUGCGGAAGAGAUAAGUGCUGAAAGCAUCUAAGCACGAAACUUGCCCCGAGAUGAGUUCUCCCUGACCCUUUAAGGGUCCUGAAGGAACGUUGAAGACGACGACGUUGAUAGGCCGGGUGUGUAAGCGCAGCGAUGCGUUGAGCUAACCGGUACUAAUGAACCGUGAGGCUUAACCUU
Molecule: ribosomal RNA, 2900 nt
Filed under: Escherichia albertii
Lineage: Bacteria; Pseudomonadati; Pseudomonadota; Gammaproteobacteria; Enterobacterales; Enterobacteriaceae
Description: 23S ribosomal RNA
Rfam family: Bacterial large subunit ribosomal RNA
Source: RNAcentral